AAUGUGCUCCACACGAGUCCUGUUAAUCAAAUGUUGACUGUGACACAAGGAGCACAGAGUGAAAUGUGUGCCCCUAUGGUGACCUGCAUUGUGCGGAGUCAACUUUCCUAGCACUCAAACAUAUUU
Molecule: small nucleolar RNA, 126 nt
Filed under: Bombyx mori (domestic silkworm)
Lineage: Eukaryota; Metazoa; Arthropoda; Insecta; Lepidoptera; Bombycidae
Description: Bm_76
Source: RNAcentral